AUGAACGCUGGCGGCGUGCCUAAUCCAUGCACGUCGAGCGAACAGACGAGGAGCUUGCUCCUCUGACGUUAGCGGCGGACGGGUGAGUAACACGUGGAUAACCUACCUAUAAGACUGGGAUAACUUCGGGAAACCGGAGCUAAUACCGGAUAAUAUAUUGAACCGCAUGGUUCAAUAGUGAAAGACGGUUUUGCUGUCACUUAUAGAUUGAUCCGCGCCGCAUUAGCUAGUUGGUAAGGUAACGGCUUACCAAGGCAACGAUGCGUAGCCGACCUGAGAGGGUGAUCGGCCACACUGGAACUGAGACACGGUCCAGACUCCUACGGGAGGCAGCAGUAGGGAAUCUUCCGCAAUGGGCGAAAGCUUGACGGAGCAACGCCGCGUGAGUGAUGAAGGUCUUCGGAUCGUAAAACUCUGUUAUUAGGGAAGAACAAAUGUGUAAGUAACUAUGCACGUCUUGACGGUACCUAAUCAGAAAGCCACGGCUAACUACGUG
This 496-nucleotide ribosomal RNA is filed under the name uncultured bacterium. Its description in RNAcentral is "partial 16S ribosomal RNA". It matches the Rfam family "Bacterial small subunit ribosomal RNA", at positions 29 to 507 of the family's 1533-position model. The record is from RNAcentral.